UACGUAGGGAGCGAGCGUUACCCGGAAUCACUGGGCGUAAAGGGCGUGUAGGUGGUCAGGGAAGUCCCUCGUGAAAUCUCUGGGCUCAACCCAGAGGGGUCGGGGGAUACUCCUUGACUUGAGGGCAGUAGAGGAAGGUGGAAUUCCCGGCGUAGCGGUGAAAUGCGUAGAUAUCGGGUGGAACACCAGUGGCAAAAGCGGCCUUCUGGGCUGUCCCUGACACUGAGGCGCGAAAGCGUGGGGAGCGAACCGG
Molecule: ribosomal RNA, 253 nt
Filed under: uncultured bacterium
Lineage: Bacteria
Description: partial 16S ribosomal RNA
Rfam family: Bacterial small subunit ribosomal RNA
Source: RNAcentral